Molecule: ribosomal RNA, 253 nt
Filed under: uncultured bacterium
Lineage: Bacteria
Description: partial 16S ribosomal RNA
Rfam family: Bacterial small subunit ribosomal RNA
Source: RNAcentral
UACAGAGGGUGCGAGCGUUAAUCGGAAUUACUGGGCGUAAAGCGCGCGCAGGCGGCUUUGCAAGUCAGAUGUGAAAUCCCCGGGCUUAACCUGGGAACUGCAUUUGUGACUGCAUGGCUGGAGUGCGGCAGAGGGGGAUGGAAUUCCGCGUGUAGCAGUGAAAUGCGUAGAUAUGCGGAGGAACACCGAUGGCGAAGGCAAUCCCCUGGGCCUGCACUGACGCUCAUGCACGAAAGCGUGGGGAGCAAACAGG